This 170-nucleotide ribosomal RNA is filed under the name Terminalia catappa (Indian almond). RNAcentral's name for it is "partial 18S ribosomal RNA". Lineage: Eukaryota; Viridiplantae; Streptophyta; Magnoliopsida; Myrtales; Combretaceae. The record is from RNAcentral.
AUCCAGGUGCGCUCUUGAAUUGAAUUGCGUUUCCUUGGCUAAAAACAAACCCCGGCGCGAAUUGCGUCAAGGAACUUUAACAAGAGGAGCGCCCCCUGCUCUCGUUCGCGAGGGAAGUUACGGGGGGUAGCAUUCUUCAUGAACAUAAUGACUCUCGGCAACGGAUAUCU